CCUACGGGUGGCAGCAGUAAGGAAUAUUGGUCAAUGGAGGAAACUCUGAACCAGCCAUCCCGCGUGAAGGAUGAAGGGGCUCUGCCUUGUAAACUUCUUUUGUCUGGGGCGAAAAAGCUCGAUUUAUCGAGAACUGACGGUACCAGAAGAAUAAGCACCGGCUAACUCCGUGCCAGCAGCCGCGGUAAUACGGAGGGUGCAAGAGUUAUUCGGAAUAAAUGGGUUUAAGGGGUGUUAGUAAGUCAGUGGAGAAAGGCUGUGGCUUAACCAUGGAAUUGCCAUGGAUACUGCAGAGCGUGAAUGAGGUUGAGGUUGGCGGAAUGUGACAUGUAGCGGUGAAAUGCUUAGAUAUGUCAUGGAACACCGAUUGCGAAGGCAGCUGACUGGACCUAUAUUGACGCUGAGGCACGAAAGCGUGGGGAGCGAACAGGAUUAGAUACCCUUGUAGUC
RNAcentral lists this ribosomal RNA (450 nucleotides) under uncultured bacterium. Its description in RNAcentral is "partial 16S ribosomal RNA". It matches the Rfam family "Bacterial small subunit ribosomal RNA", at positions 338 to 795 of the family's 1533-position model. The record is from RNAcentral.